AAUGAACGCUGGCGGCGCGCCUAAUACAUGCAAGUCGAGCGAGAAGACGUAGCAAUACGUUUGUAAAGCGGCGAACGGGUGAGGAAUACAUGGGUAACCUACCCUCGAGUGGGGAAUAACUAGCCGAAAGGUUAGCUAAUACCGCGUACGCUCCUUGGACUUCGGUUCAGGGAGGAAAGCGAUACCGUGGGUAUCGCGCUCUUGGUUGGGCUCAUGUCCUAUCAGCUUGUUGGUGAGGUAACGGCUCACCAAGGCUUCGACGGGUAGCUGGUCUGAGAGGACGAUCAGCCACACUGGCACUGCGACACGGGCCAGACUCCUACGGGAGGCAGCAGUAAGGAAUAUUGCGCAAUGGGGCAAAGCCUGACGCAGCGACGCCGCGGUGGGGGAUGAAGGUC
RNAcentral lists this ribosomal RNA (398 nucleotides) under uncultured bacterium. RNAcentral's name for it is "bacterial SSU rRNA". It matches the Rfam family "Bacterial small subunit ribosomal RNA", at positions 29 to 416 of the family's 1533-position model. The record is from RNAcentral.